CUCCAUAUCUUUGCCCACAGGUGUUGUCAUUUGAGAUUUUAAUCUUAGUCAUUCUGACCAGUGUCACUUUAAUUUGCAUUUCCCUGAUGACUAAGGACUUAAACAUUUCUUUAAGUUCUUCUCUUCCAUUAGUUAUUUCUGUGAUGAAAAUUCUCGUUUUAGCCCUCUGCCCCAUUUUUAAAAAUUGUGUUAUUUGAUUUGUUGCUGUCUAAUCUCUUGAGUUCUUUAUAUAUUUUGAAUAACAGCCUUCUGUCUAAUCUAGGGUUUAUGAACAACCUUUCCCAUUCUGCAGGCUGCCAUUUUGUCCUUUAAAUGGUAUAUGUAGCCUCUCAAAAGAUUUUUAGUUACAUUAAGAACCAUUUAUUAAUUGUUGAUCUUAGUAAAUGAGUUAUUUGCAAUUGAAAUCAAAAUUCCAACAUAAUUCUUUACAACUUGGAAAUGCAGUUCUCAACUUCAUAUGAAAAAACAAAAAAAAAACACAAGACAAAACAAAACAAACAACUACAACAAAAAAUAGGAUAA
RNAcentral lists this long non-coding RNA (522 nucleotides) under Rattus norvegicus (Norway rat). Its description in RNAcentral is "long non-coding RNA NONRATT011492". Lineage: Eukaryota; Metazoa; Chordata; Mammalia; Rodentia; Muridae. The record is from RNAcentral.